GAUGAAGAACGUAGCGAAAUGCGAUAAGUAAUGUGAAUUGCAGAAUUCCGUGAAUCAUCGAAUCUUUGAACGCACAUUGCACCCUCUGGUAUUCCGGGGGGCAUGCCUGUCCGAGCGUCAUUUGCAACCCUCAAGCCCGGCUUGUGUGAUGGGUGCCGUCCCCUACGGGACGCGCCCCGAAGGCAAUGGCGGCGUCGCGGUUAUCCGAUCAGCCAAAGUGUAUGGGGCUUUGUCACUCACUUUACGGCCCGGACCGGCGCCAGUCCGAAUCAAUCUUUUUUCUAAAGUUGACCUCGGAUCAGGUAGGGAUACCCGCUGAACUUAAGCAUAUCAAUAAGCGGAGGA
Molecule: unclassified non-coding RNA, 345 nt
Filed under: soil metagenome
Description: partial contains 5.8S ribosomal RNA, internal transcribed spacer 2, and large subunit ribosomal RNA
Rfam family: 5.8S ribosomal RNA (bases 1-120)
Source: RNAcentral